ACCAAAUCCUGUUAGUUCUUUUACUUGAAUACUGUAACUCUAGAAAGCUAUACUAGAACCUUUUUGGAGCUCUUGUCGAACUUCAUUUAUAUAGUUCUUUUAUGUAGAGAAUCUGUAGAUAAUCCUAUGUAAUUCCUAAUUAGGAUAUAUAUUUCCGUUUCCCUUUAGUAACUGUAUUAACUAUAGUAUAUAUUAUUAGGUAACUACUCCUAAUAGGAUUCCUAAAGUAGGUAAGUCUCAUAUGGAGACUUGUGUAUAUAUACCCUAUUGCCUACGGGCUAUCAUAAUAAUAAGAGUAGAUUAUCAUUCUCUCAAAUCUACAUGGUAUCAGAGCCUGGUUCCCUUAAACCCUAUGUACCUUAAACCCUAAAGCCUUCUGCCAACGCUACCUCCGAUCGACGCUAUGACGAACGACAGAACCGUCUCUGUGAGCACAGGCGCUGUCCCUACUGGAAAUAACCAGGGCACAAUCGUACCAGUGACGAACACAGACUACUCUGGUUUCCUCACUACGCAUAAACUCGACGGCAAGAAUCAACCACCUUCCCAAAAUCAGCCAGAGAACUUCUCCAGUCACUUUGCUAGUCAAGGUAAAUCCUCUCAUGCCUACUCUAUUCAGUCUCAACCGUGUGAAACAUGGAUAAUAGAUUCAGGAUGUUCGGAUCACAUGACUGGUUCCAAGGAAGUGUUAACAGAAUUUCAAUCCUAUCCUAAGAAGGCAGGGGUACGUAUAGCUGAUGGCAGCCUCUCUGCAAUCGAAGGAAUAGGCAGAGUUCGGAUUAACCACGACAUAGAACUGUUUCCCGUGCUCUAUGUCCCAAAGUUAAACAGUAGCUUAAUCUCUAUAAGUCAGAUCACUAGAGAUCUAAAGUGUGAAGCUCUAUUCAGUUCUAAUCGAUGUUCCCUGCAGGAGGAAGGCUCCAGGAGGACGAUUGGAACUGCUAAACUCCAGGAAGACCUCUUUAUCAUAAAUAGAGUCAGGAGAAAGGAGGUGGAUGAAGGACAAAGACACGCUUUAGCUACUAGCAUUCUAAAUAGAGAUGAUAGCCACAUUAUGUUAUGGCAUAGUCGGGUAGGAGGAGCUUAUGUUAUGGCAUAGUCGGUUAGGACAUCCUAAUUUCGGAUAUUUACAGUAAUUGUUACCUAAGCUAUUUCUUAAUAAAAACUCCAAGGAUUUACAAUGUGAUCUGUGUCAAUUGGCAAAGCACACCCGCAACAGUUACCCUGGUGUUCGCUACAAACCAACACAGCCAUUCGCGAUUAUUCACAGUGAUAAUUAAGGACCAACGAGGGUGAAAAACAUCAACGGGGCCAGAUGGUUCAUCACAUUCAUAGAUGAUCACACUUGGCUCACUUGGACCUUUCUCAUGAAAGCGAAGUCUGAAACAGCAACAGUGUUUCAGAGGUUCUAUGACAUGAUUUUCACCCAGUUUGGCACGAAGAUACAAGUCCUAAAAACCGACAAUGCUCACGACUACUUUAACUCAGAAUUAGGCAUCUAUCUCUCUCAACGAGGAAUCGUUCACUGCAGUUCGUGUGUUGAUACCCCACAGCAAAACGGUAUUGCAGAACGCAAGAACCGACAUCUCCUUGAGACAGCUAGAGCACUGAUGUUCACCAAACAUGUACCAAAACACUUAUGGGGAGAGGCUGUUCUAACAGCAACUUACCUAAUCAACAGACUUCCAUGUCGAGUCCUGAACUAUCAGACCUCCAAGGAUGUCCUAGUACCCAGACCCCCAAGGAUGCUAGUACAGUCAUAUCCGCAUGUGCAGGCCUACAUGUCCGCCAUGGACCCAAAGGUAUUCGGGUGCCUUGCCUUUGUCCACAUUCAUCAGCAUCAACGGACCAUACUGGAUCCGCGUGCACAGAAAUGUGUGUUUAUCGGCUAUGCACCUCAACAACAAGGCUAUAAAUGUUAUUCACCAGCCACGAGUAAGGUCUUCACCAAUAUGGAUGUGGCGUGUUUUUAGAAAUCCGGGUAUUCCGGCCACGAGUAAGGUCUUCACCACUAUGGAUGUGACGAUUUUUGAGAACUCCGGGUAUUAUAGCAUUCCAGAGCUUCAGGGGGAGAGAGAGGACCCUACUGUAGCAGGAGCAGAAACUCUGGACAUGCUAAUUACCAUGGAUGCACCUGCAAUACCACAGGUGGUGGUAGCCUCACAAAGUUCCCCAUCAAAACAACAUGAGGAACGGAGACAACAAGACAUCCAGCAUGUGUACCAAAGAAGGAGAAGAGCAGAUCCAGAGGGGUCCAAGGAAACUACAACUGAAGCAAGUACAGUUGAUGUGGAAGAUGUGGCUGAACCAGAACUAGCUCCACCACAAUCAGAAAAUGACGAAACUACAGUUGAAGAAAUGCACCAGCCCGUCGACUAUGACUUAUACUUGCCAAUAGCCAUGAGGAAAGGAGUCCGGGAAUGCACUCGUCAUCCUAUUCAAAGGUAUGUCAAUUAUGGUCGUCUUAGUCCAUAAUUUCGAGCCCUUACAACUCACUUGGAUACUAAGCCUCGAACCAUUGAAGAGGCAAUGAAAAUACCAGAAUGGAGACAGGCAGUACUUGCUGA
RNAcentral lists this long non-coding RNA (2567 nucleotides) under Linum usitatissimum (flax). Its description in RNAcentral is "long non-coding RNA (LUSI_LNC006003)". Lineage: Eukaryota; Viridiplantae; Streptophyta; Magnoliopsida; Malpighiales; Linaceae. The record is from RNAcentral.